GACGCACGCUGGCUGCGUGCUUAACACAUGCAAGUCGAACGGAAAGGCCCUGCUUUUGUGGGGUGCUCGAGUGGCGACCGGGUGAGUAACACGUGAGUAACCUGCCCUUGACUUUGGGAUAACUUCAGGAAACUGGGGCUAAUACCGGAUAGGAGCUCCUGCUGCCUGGUGGGGGUUGGAAAGUUUCGGCGGUUGGGGAUGGACUCGCGGCUUAUCAGCUUGUUGGUGGGGUAGUGGCUUACCAAGGCUUUGACGGGUAGCCGGCCUGCGAGGGUGACCGGCCACAUUGGGACUGAGAUACGGCCCAGACUCCUACGGGAGGCAGCAGUGGGGAAUAUUGCACAAUGGGCGGAAGCCUGAUGCAGCAACGCCGCGUGCGGGAUGACGGCCUUCGGGUUGUAAACCGCUUUCGCCUGUGACGAAGCGUGAGUGACGGCAAUGGGUAAAGAAGCACCGGCUAACUACGUG
This 468-nucleotide ribosomal RNA is filed under the name uncultured bacterium. RNAcentral's name for it is "partial 16S ribosomal RNA". It matches the Rfam family "Bacterial small subunit ribosomal RNA", at positions 28 to 507 of the family's 1533-position model. The record is from RNAcentral.